CCUACGGGAGGCAGCAGUGGGGAAUAUUGCACAAUGGGGGAAACCCUGAUGCAGCGACGCCGCGUGAAGGAAGAAGUAUUUCGGUAUGUAACCUUCUAUCAGCAGGGAAGAAAAUGACGGUACCUGACUACGAAGCCCCGGCUAACUACGUGCCAGCAGCCGCGGUAAUACGGAGGGGGCAAGCGUUAUCCGGAUUUACUGGGGGGAAAGGGAGCGUAGGCGGCGAUGCAAGUCAGAAGUGAAAGCCCGGGGCUCAACUCCGGGACUGCUUUUGAAACUGUUUUGCUAGAUGGCAGGAGAGGUAAGUGGAAUUCCUAGUGUAGCGGGGAAAUGCGUAGAUAUUAGGAGGAACACCAGUGGCGAAGGCGGCUUACUGGACUGUAAAUGACGCUGAGGCUCGAAAGCGUGGGGAGCAAACAGGAUUAGAUACCCUUGUAGUC
This 440-nucleotide ribosomal RNA is filed under the name uncultured bacterium. RNAcentral's name for it is "partial 16S ribosomal RNA". It matches the Rfam family "Bacterial small subunit ribosomal RNA", at positions 338 to 795 of the family's 1533-position model. The record is from RNAcentral.